GACGAACGUUGGCGGCGUGCUUAAUACAUGCAAGUCCACUGAAGCAGUGGUAGCAAUAUCGCUGUGGAGGUGGCGCACGGGUGAGUAACACGUAGGUAAUCUGCCUUCAGGUCUGGCAUAACUCCGGGAAACCGGGGCUAAUAGCAGAUGAUGCAGCGGCUCGACAUCGAGACAGUUGUUAAAGCUAUGGCGCCUGAAGAUGAGCCUGCGUCUGAUUAGCUAGUUGGCGGGGUAACGGCCCACCAAGGCAACGAUCAGUAGCUGGUCUGAGAGGAUGAUCAGCCACACUGGAACUGGGACACGGUCCAGACUCCUACGGGAGGCAGCAGUAAGGAAUAUUGCUCAAUGGGAGAAAUCCUGAAGCAGCAACGCCGCGUGAGGGACGAAGGGCUUUUGCUUGUAAACCUCUGUAGUGAGAGAAAAAAAUCCCAAUCUUUGGGACAUGAUGGUAUCUCAAAAGUAAGCCCCGGCUAACUACGUG
RNAcentral lists this ribosomal RNA (481 nucleotides) under uncultured bacterium. RNAcentral describes it as "partial 16S ribosomal RNA". It matches the Rfam family "Bacterial small subunit ribosomal RNA", at positions 28 to 507 of the family's 1533-position model. The record is from RNAcentral.